GUGACUUUCUCGAAGCGGCGGCGGGGGCUGUUCAAGAAGGCGGAGGAGUUGUCGAUUCUGUGCGACGCCGACGUUGCUGUCAUCAUCUUCUCCUCGACCGGCAAGCUCUUCCACUUUCCCACCUCCAGUAUCCAGGAGAUCAUUGACAAGUACAAUAUGAACUCAAAGAACCUACAGAAUGCAGACCAGCCAUCUCUUGAAUUGCAGCUAGAGAGUAG
Molecule: unclassified non-coding RNA, 218 nt
Filed under: Hevea brasiliensis (rubber tree)
Lineage: Eukaryota; Viridiplantae; Streptophyta; Magnoliopsida; Malpighiales; Euphorbiaceae
Source: RNAcentral